Molecule: unclassified non-coding RNA, 228 nt
Filed under: Hevea brasiliensis (rubber tree)
Lineage: Eukaryota; Viridiplantae; Streptophyta; Magnoliopsida; Malpighiales; Euphorbiaceae
Source: RNAcentral
UUAUGUGGCUUAAAUUUUAGAUAUGUCUUUAUAGACCUGAAUUGUGACUUGACACGAAAGUUUCGCGCUACGACCCAAUUGGUAUAAAAAGUGAGGUCUGUGACUCUAGUGGAGGGCACGGGUUGCCCUUGUGGUAUGGACCAGUUUAAAUAUUAUAAUAUUCUGCCCUUUACGAUAGAGUUAUAAGAUAUUCGAGAAAUACAGUGGGUUAGGAUUUGAAAGUUAUAA